This 484-nucleotide ribosomal RNA is filed under the name uncultured bacterium. Its description in RNAcentral is "partial 16S ribosomal RNA". It matches the Rfam family "Bacterial small subunit ribosomal RNA", at positions 28 to 507 of the family's 1533-position model. The record is from RNAcentral.
AUUGAACGCUGGCGGCAUGCUUUACACAUGCCAGUCGAACGGCAGCGCGGGCUUCGGCCUGGCGGCGAGUGGCGAACGGGUGAGUAAUGCAUCGGAACGUGCCCAGUAGUGGGGGAUAGCCCGGCGAAAGCCGGAUUAAUACCGCAUACGACCUGAGGGUGAAAGCGGGGGACCGAAAGGCCUCGCGCUAUUGGAGCGGCCGAUGUCGGAUUAGCUAGUUGGUGGGGUAAAGGCUUACCAAGGCGACGAUCCGUAGCUGGUCUGAGAGGACGACCAGCCACACUGGGGCUGAGACACGGCCCAGACUCCUACGGGAGGCAGCAGGUGGGAAAUUUGGACAAUUGGGGCAACCCUGAUCCAGCCAUGCCGCGUGCGGGAAAGAGGCCUUCGGGUUGGAAACCGGUUUUGUUCGGGAAGAAAUCCUCUUGGCUAAUACCCCGGGGGGAUGACGGUACCGGAAGAAUAAGCACCGGCUAACUACGUG